This 429-nucleotide ribosomal RNA is filed under the name uncultured bacterium. RNAcentral describes it as "bacterial SSU rRNA". It matches the Rfam family "Bacterial small subunit ribosomal RNA", at positions 355 to 776 of the family's 1533-position model. The record is from RNAcentral.
UGGGGAAUUUUGGACAAUGGGCGAAAGCCUGAUCCAGCCAUGCCGCGUGAGUGAAGAAGGCCUUCGGGUUGUAAAGCUCUUUUGUCCGGGAGGAAAUCCUGGCCUCUAAUACAGGUCGGGGAUGACAGUACUGGAAGAAUAAGCACCGGCUAACUACGUGCCAGCAGCCGCGGUAAUACGUAGGGUGCAAGCGUUAAUCGGAAUUACUGGGCGUAAAGCGUGCGCAGGCGGUUUUGUAAGCCAGAUGUGAAAUCCCCGAGCUUAACUUGGGAACUGCGUUUGGAACUACAAGACUAGAGUGUGUCAGAGGGGGGUAGAAUUCCACGUGUAGCAGUGAAAUGCGUAGAGAUGUGGAGGAAUACCGAUGGCGAAGGCAGCCCCCUGGGAUAACACUGACGCUCAUGCACGAAAGCGUGGGGAGCAAACAGG